UCCAGCUGAAAAUGCUUCCUCGUAUGGUCUGAUCCGGUCAGGAAGAGGAUCACCGAUCCUACCACUGAGACUCAGAAGCUCCAACUCAUACGAAGAAGGGAUCUUGUAUUGAGCUCAAAUUAGACUUAGAUCCUCUACGUCUAAUAUGGACCCAAUGGUGUCAGGCAUGAAAAAUUGCCCAGCCUCAUUUCUGACACUCGAUCUCACAGGACCUCCCCCUAAAGAAGGAGAAGACCCAAAAGAUCAGUUUUCACUAGAACUUUCAAAGUCUGCCAUUGG
RNAcentral lists this long non-coding RNA (279 nucleotides) under Elaeis guineensis (African oil palm). RNAcentral's name for it is "long non-coding RNA (EGUI_LNC026112)". The record is from RNAcentral. Lineage: Eukaryota; Viridiplantae; Streptophyta; Magnoliopsida; Arecales; Arecaceae.